GGUUGAGAAACCUUUGGAAUAGAAACGUCUUUGAGUUUUGAAGCUAUAGUCUUGAUUUUAAAGAACAUGCACAAAAAAAAAAAAAAAAAAAAAUCUGGGUUGUAAUUAAGUUUUUUGGAAGGUUUUGCCUAUUACAACAAACAUUAAAUAUUCGAGUUAAACAAACCAGGCUUCAGGUUCUUGCUCACCAAAGAAAACAUCUGGGCUGAGUCUGGAAUGGCAUAGGAGCUAUUAUUUGUUGCAGCAAUUAAUAGCGUUUUAUGUUUGUGUUUCUGCUGGCUGAAGUACUCUUCCUUUGUCACUGCAAGCUUCUAUUUUUAUUUCAGGUAGAGAUGGGUAUAUACCUCAGCUC
RNAcentral lists this unclassified non-coding RNA (352 nucleotides) under Hevea brasiliensis (rubber tree). The record is from RNAcentral. Lineage: Eukaryota; Viridiplantae; Streptophyta; Magnoliopsida; Malpighiales; Euphorbiaceae.